Callithrix jacchus (white-tufted-ear marmoset) is the source of this 2586-nucleotide long non-coding RNA. RefSeq lists it as uncharacterized. Lineage: Eukaryota; Metazoa; Chordata; Mammalia; Primates; Cebidae. The record is from RefSeq and is a predicted model, not a curated record.
CAGGAACUGCCAUAUAAGCCUCCCGACAGCCCUGAGACUGCCAUAUUGUCAGGAAGCCCAGUCUAGCCCACAUGGAGAGCCACAUGGAAGGUCCCCAAGAUGAUGUAAAGAGAGAAGGGCUCAGCCUGCCCCGAGCUGCUCCACUGCCUGCUGUUCCAGCUCCAGCUACUGCAUGAGAGACGCCAAACCAAAAUCGCCCAGCUGAGCCCUUCCAUGAUCCUCAACUCUCUAAGACCACAAGCAACAUACAAGGGUCACCGCUAGUUUUACCCACUACAUCUCGGGUGAUUUGUUAGGCAGCCGCAAAGAAAACGUGUGUGGCCCUUAAGAGCACAGGUCCCGGUCAACAGCAUUGGUCCGUUUUCCAGAAACAACUAAUCCAGGGAAUGAACUUGGAUGAUUAUUGCCUCAGUUUCCUCAUUGUGGGAAAGAUAAUAACAGCACCUGCUUCGCAGACGUCAUGGGAAGACUGACAAAGAUACAGCACAGUCAUCACUUGAUUAGACAGGACGUCACAGCAGCAUCCUGAACCCAGGAACAGAGAGCCAGUAAGAAGCGCAGGCGUUGGUGGGAGUUGGCGGAGGACCAUCUUGGGAUCAGGACGUGAGUUCCUUGACAAGGAAGAUAUUGCCACGCAUGACUGUAUCACUGAGUUUCUAGCAGAGAUUCUGGGACAUGGACACCUGAAGCAGGGUGCCCAGCAAUGUCUGCCUUUAACAGCUGGAGAGGAAUUACAUGAGGCAGCUACUAAGUUGGACUCAAAAGCAAACUUCCUGAACGUUGGAUUUCUAUCUCAGUCCUGUCAUUCCCUGUUGGUGGUCUUAGAAGAGCAGGGUCUUGGGUCUGAGGCCAGCCAGACACAUUUACUUACCAUGAACCUUAGGAGGGACCUGAGGCUCAGAGGUAUAACGAACUAACAAGACGUCCAAGUCCACCUGCCUAGUUGGCGGCGAAACUGCAGGUUAGCCCUAGGACCGAGGGUGAACAAGUGAACACAUUGAAUGUGCAUUCUGCUGUUUCUCAACACCCUGGAACAAGCACCGUCAGGUUUGAAGAGGAAGCCAGCCCAGUGCCUGCUGUGGUUAGCCAUCCAAUUUACCCACAGAUGUAAUAAGUUGGCUGAAUGCCUACACCCAGCUCGGCAAAGGGGCAGCACUCCAUAGAUGGUACAACCUCCAGGAGGAGGCUGGAAAGAAGGGCAAGAGGGAGAGCUCACGCUUACUGAGCACUUCCCAUGUGUCUGGAGCCUUGGUGUGAAGUCAUUCCUUCUUGACUGGUCCUAGACAAGGUCCAUUUGGUUCAUUCAUGGAAUUCUAACCAUAUCCCUUGAUGGUGUUCACAUCUCAUUUUGGCAGAUGUGAAAACUGAGACUCGGAGAGGUUAAGACACCUAUCCCAGGAUCACAGAAGGCCUCUGUAAGGGUUUUAGCUGGGACAUGACCCCCCCCCCAUUUCCAUGACCAUAAUUCUUAUGAUUUUUUUUUUUUUUUUUGAGACAGAGUCUUACUCUGUUGCCCAGGCUGGAGUGCAGUGGUGCAAUCUCAGUGCACUGCAGCCUCUGCCUCUGCCACAGGUUCGAGAAAUUGUCGUGCCUCAGCUUCCCAAGUAGCUGGGACUACAGGCAUGCACCACCACACUGCGCUAAUUUUUGUAUUUUUAGUCGAGACAGGGUUUCACCAUGUUGGCCAGGCUGGUCUUGAACUCCUGACCUCAGGUAACCUGCCUGCCUCAGCCUCCCAAAGUGCUGGGAUUACAGGCAUGAGCCGCUGUGCCUGGCCAAGUUCUUGUAAUUCUUGAAACAGUGUUUCAAAGACACUCAAAGUUCCCCCUUGUGCAGUUUGGGGCUUAGGACAGAGCACACAGUACCUCCACCUUUCCUCGACUCCCACACAUUCCAGGUGUCUAAGGCUGUCUCCUUCGGCAGGAAUUCACACAGCACUGUGCUGGGGCUGACUCAUAACAACUCACAAGAGCCGAUUAAGAUUUUGAGAAUUUUGUGAGCCGGGUAACAUCAUGUUGGCAUCUUGAAAUUGGCCAUAGUGAAAGUAUUUUGCACCACAGAAAUUGGCAAAUGCUACAAACCAGGGCUUUUUUUUUUUUUUCUUUUAAUUUUGCCAAGAUCCAGUUGCUAAAUAUUUCUGAGCAUGCCUCUGGACCUCAGAGAAACAGUUCUAGUUCACCAUAAAUCCACACAUUCAUACAAUAAACGCACAGAUUGAGCUCUACUUACAAAGUAAGACAGUUUGCACUCACUAAGGGGUUUGUUCAGCAGACUUUGACUCAUGGCCUACUAUGUGCAGGUUCUGUGCUAAAUGUCGGGAAUUCAGCAGUGGCAAGAUAGACAUGGUUCCUGUCCCAUGGAGCUUUCAAUCUAAGGAGGGAGUCAGAUUUAAACACCCCAAAAGACACACAACCUGCACUGUGAGUGGGAAUUAGCCGAGUCAAGUUGAUGGGAUAAAAGCAGGGAGGUUCCAGGAAGAGGGAACAGCAUGUACCAAGUGUUUGUGACAGGAGGAAACUUGGCAGGUUCCAAGAACUGGCCAAGAGCAGCACAGCUGGAGAGAAAGGAAUAAAGGGGGAAAUGGGA